RNAcentral lists this ribosomal RNA (253 nucleotides) under uncultured bacterium. Its description in RNAcentral is "partial 16S ribosomal RNA". It matches the Rfam family "Bacterial small subunit ribosomal RNA", at positions 524 to 776 of the family's 1533-position model. The record is from RNAcentral.
CACGUAGGAGGCGAGCGUUGUCCGGAAUCAUUGGGCGUAAAGAGCGCGUAGGCGGUCCAGCAAGUCGGGUGUGAAAGCCCUCGGCUCAACCGAGGAAGUGCAUUCGAAACUACGGGACUUGAAUACUGAAGAGGAUCGCGGAAUUCCCGGUGUAGAGGUGAAAUUCGUAGAUAUCGGGAGGAACACCAGUGGCGAAGGCGGCGAUCUGGGCAGAUAUUGACGCUGAUGUGCGAAAGCGUGGGGAGCAAACAGG